RNAcentral lists this unclassified non-coding RNA (1875 nucleotides) under Limulus polyphemus (Atlantic horseshoe crab). RNAcentral describes it as "hippocampus abundant transcript 1 protein-like, transcript variant X3". Lineage: Eukaryota; Metazoa; Arthropoda; Merostomata; Xiphosura; Limulidae. The record is from RNAcentral.
UUGACGAAACGUUAUGCUAUAUAUGUAUGAAUUUGUAAAGAAGGGAACCUAAACCUCGGCGUUAAGGUUAUUGUGUCAUCUUUUUUAGAUUUAUUUGUACAGAAAAAAUAACAUUUACAGUGACUGAGACCCUGAGGUCAUAAAUUAAGAUGCCAAGGAAAAUGUCAAGAAAAGUCACUGGCCUCCUCAUUAGAAGCAGAAAGAACAUAAUGAAUGAUGGUUUCAUUACUUCUGGAAUAGGAGAACCAAGUGUAUAUCAUGCUGUCGUAGUCAUUUUUCUUGAAUUCUUUGCUUGGGGACUUCUGACAACUCCUAUGAUUACCGUUUUAAAUGAGACAUUUCCAGACCACACAUUUCUACUGAAUGGAUUAAUAGUAGGAGUCAAGGGAUUUUUAUCUUUCCUAAGUGCUCCAAUGAUAGGUGCAUUAUCAGAUGUCUGGGGAAGGAAAGCGUUUUUAUUGUUGACAGUCUUCUUCACAUGUUCACCUAUUCCAUUAAUGAGGAUUAAUACAUGGUGGUACUUUGCUAUGAUCUCAAUAUCGGGUAUAUUUGCUGUUACUUUUUCGGUUGUAUUUGCGUAUGUGGCAGAUGUGACAGAAGACCAUGAACGAAGUUCUGCAUAUGGUUUGGUUUCUGCCACAUUUGCAGCAAGCCUAGUCACAAGUCCUGCUCUAGGAGCCUACCUGUCACAGGUUUAUAGUGAUAAUCUAGUGGUGGUAUUAGCAUCUGCUAUAGCUCUUCUUGAUGUAGUCUUUAUUUUGGUCGCAGUACCAGAAUCUCUACCAGAGAAGCUAAGACCAUCGUCAUGGGGAGCUAACAUUUCAUGGGAAAAUGCUGAUCCUUUUUCUGCACUUAAGAAGGUUGGAAAAGAUCAAAUGAUUCUCAUGCUUUGUACAGCAGUAUUUCUCUCAUAUCUUCCUGAGGCAGGCCAAUACUCAUGUUUUUUCGUUUAUCUGAGAUUAGUCAUGGGAUUUUCAGCUGAAGAGGUUGCCUUAUUUAUUGCCAUUGUGGGUCUACUCUCUGUUGUGGCACAGACAAUUAUAUUGACGAUGUUGAUGAAAACACUGGGGAAUAAAAACACUAUUAUGAUUGGACUUUUCUUUGAAAUGUUGCAGUUAAUGUGGUAUGGUUUUGGCUCACAAAGGUGGAUGAUGUGGGCAGCUGGUGGUCUGGCAUCAUUAUGCAGCAUUACUUACCCUGCUAUUAGUGCCUUUGUUUCAACACAUGCAGAAGUUGACAAACAAGGUGUAGCUCAGGGAAUGAUAACGGGGAUGAGAGGAUUGUGUAAUGGCUUAGGACCAGCUGUCUAUGGUUUCAUCUUUUAUCUAUUCCACGUGGAUCUAAAUGAUGAAGCCAACUUGGAAAAAUCGGUCAUUAAUACUCAGAACAGAAUUUCCUCCAAUAUCACUUACAUUCUAAAUCCGGAAGACACACAGCUGGUUCCUGGGCCACCGUUUGUGUUUGGAGCUUUCCUGGUAAUGUUAGCCCUACUGGUUGCUGCCUUCAUUCCUGAGUCUCACCCACUUGGCAACAGUAUUCGCUGUCCCUCACAUCAUCGACAUUCUUCUCUUUCUGCAGCUACAAACUCCAGUGUGAGCUCCGAAGGUCCAUUUCUUAAUGAUGUAGUUCAUAAGCGAACAGAUGGAAUGCAACCACUUUUACAUGAUACAGAACCUUUAUAACCAGUCAUUUUUCCUAUUGCAAAUAAUUUUUCUGUACUGUUCUUACUUCAGAAAUUGUAUUCGGAGAAACGAAAGAAGGCUGCACUGUACAUAGUAUAGAAUUAUAAAAAAAUUUAAAGGAUAGAUGUGGCUUUGGAAUUACAAAUUCUUUUAUGAAGAUGGUGUAUAUAUAUAUAUAUAUAUAUAUAUAUAU